UGGUCAAGCAAUUAAGAGCAUUUGGUGGAUGCCUUGGUGCCAGAAGGCGAUGAAGGACGCGGUUAGCUGCGAUAAGCUUCGGGGAGUUGCCAGCAAACAUUGAUCCGAAGAUUUCCGAAUGGGGAAACCC
Molecule: ribosomal RNA, 130 nt
Filed under: Candidatus Auribacter fodinae
Lineage: Bacteria; Pseudomonadati; Candidatus Auribacterota; Candidatus Auribacteria; Candidatus Auribacterales; Candidatus Auribacteraceae
Description: Candidatus Aureabacteria bacterium SURF_26 partial 23S ribosomal RNA
Rfam family: Bacterial large subunit ribosomal RNA
Source: RNAcentral